This 99-nucleotide microRNA precursor is filed under the name Schmidtea mediterranea. RNAcentral describes it as "microRNA sme-mir-31a precursor". Its record names the gene sme-mir-31a. The record is from miRBase by way of RNAcentral. Lineage: Eukaryota; Metazoa; Platyhelminthes; Tricladida; Dugesiidae.
UUUUAUUGUUAUGUUUUAAGGCAAGAUGUUGGCAUAACUGACAACAAUUCGAAAGGAUUAAUUUCAGUUACGUUAGCACUUACCAGAUAGCAAAACAAA